Molecule: ribosomal RNA, 406 nt
Filed under: uncultured bacterium
Lineage: Bacteria
Description: partial 16S ribosomal RNA
Rfam family: Bacterial small subunit ribosomal RNA
Source: RNAcentral
AUUGAACGCUGGCGGCAAGCCUAACACAUGCAAGUCGAACGAGUGGCGGACGGGUGAGUAAUGUCUGGGAAACUGCCUGAUGGAGGGGGAUAACUACUGGAAACGGUAGCUAAUACCGCAUACCAUCGGAUGUGCCCAAAUGGGAUUAGCUAGUAGGGGGGGUAAAGGCUCACCUAGGCGACGAUCCCUAGCUGGUCUGAGAGGAUGACCAGCCACACUGGAACUGAGACACGGUCCAGACUCCUCCGUGAGGCAGCAGUGGGGAAUAGUGCACAAUGGGCGCAAGCCUGACGCAGCCAUGCCGCGUGUAUGAAGAAGGCCUUCGGGUUUUAAAGUACUUUCAGCGGGGAGGCGUUACCCGCAGAAGAAGCACCGGCUAACUCCGGGCCAGCAGCCGCGGUAAUUC